Long non-coding RNA from Lontra canadensis (Northern American river otter), 2476 nucleotides. RefSeq lists it as uncharacterized. The record is from RefSeq and is a predicted model, not a curated record. NCBI's taxonomy places the organism in Eukaryota, Metazoa, Chordata, Mammalia, Carnivora, Mustelidae. The transcript is spliced from 3 exons.
UAAAACAGAAACCCUCACGACUCAAGGGGAAUUCUAGAUUGCUUUCUUCUUUUCCUCAUGCCUCUUCACUUCUCGCUUUACAGGAGGUCCAGGAGAUGGGAGAUCCCGUGUGCUACGGACGAGCAGUUGCUGUGUGGACAUGCAAGGGAAAUCUCCAUGUCAGUCCAUGUGGUGUACAUCUGAGAGAAAAUCUGAAAGGCCACAAAUCUGAAUGUCUAACAUGACCAAAGCUCACCACAGGUAGAUUUUAGCCUCUGACCUCCCAGCCCAUCCCACCAACCCUCCACCAGAGUGAAGCCAGAGUGACCUGCAGAGUUCCACAGGAAAUCCCAGCGGUAACCAAGGUGAGCAGAAGGACACGUGAUACUCAGGGAGAUGGCACAGACAGGCAGGUGGGGUUCUAGAAUCCAGUUAGACUGGUCAGGAAGAGUCAUGGUUGUCUUUAGGAGGUGGGCAGGAUGGCUCACAGGUAGGAAUGGGGUGACUGACAGGAGGGGAAUAGUAUAACUCAUAGGACAGGAAUGGGGUGGCCCACACAUGGAUCAGCUUUGCUCUGUUGGGAGCAAAACCCUUAGCUCUGCAGAAGCCCAUCUACAUUUCCCCCUUGAGUCUGUCUUUAGGAUCAAGGGAGGACUUGCCCCUCCUGCCUAACAGGGACCCUGUUUCACCAUCCCUAGUUUCUCCCUCCAUGAUCCUGGGCUCUCAGAAAGUGGGCUCAGUGAUCCAAGGCAAAAAAAGGCUUUUGCUCAGGGUAUUUUCAGGAUCCAAAGGACUGUGGGGGCCACUUCCCCUGAUAGGGUUCAAUUCCAUGAAGCUUAGCAACAUAGUCUUUCACCACCUACUAAGUCUAGAGUUCGCAGGCAGGAUGAAGUCUAGAGUCCUAGGUCCAGGUACUACCACUAGGCUCCUUGGGCCCACUGGCAGAGAAAUGAGGCUUCACAGUCUCACAUGGUUUUCUUUCUGGAAAUCACCCAGUUGCAGAGCUCCAGAGUUGGGAGGGCUUUUAGAGACUCUAGAGUUCAUAAGUACACUUUCACACCUCAACACUUCAGAAAUCAGGAUCUGCCUCUCCACCGGCAGCCCUAACUUUCUGUUGCCCAGGUGGCUGCCCCAAAAUUAAUAUUGCUUCCUGCACCUGUCACCACUCCUCGCUUGACUGGAGGACUUCAGUCCCUCAAUGGUUCCAUUAACAAACCACUGAAGGACCAUCUGACGACGAAGAAAUGAGUCCUGGAUGGUGUCUGAAACAUUCUGGUGACACCUUCUGGUAAGAUUGAGAAAGUACUAGCAUCAAACCUUGCAGAAUGGGGAUCAGCGGCAUGGGAGAGUAUCCAGAAAGACAUAGGGGGCUGCUGUAUUGAGAAAUGCCACAUUAUCCAUUCUCCUGAUGGCACAGAGGAUGGUAUCAUGUGGAAAAACGUGGAUGUUGAUGACUAGAGUCAGAAAGUGAACCUGUACGCCUGUUCUUUGCGUCAAACGAAAUCAAAUCCUUUAUAUUUGCUUUUGAUUAUCUUCUAAUUACACUAAUAAUACAUGAACACAUUCUGUUACUUAAAACAAUGAAACCUACAGAUGCCACAGAAUUCCUCCUGCAUGGCCACUCACUCCCUGAUACCAAGCCUGAGGUCUUCCCUGAAGAUGAUGUUGUAACUAGUGUGUGUAUCCCUGCUGACAGGUUUUUUUUUCUUAAUUUGCUUUUGCAUAAUUUGGAUUUCAUCUGUAAGUUAACGUAAAUGGUUAACAUAAAUGGUAUCUUAUGUAGUCAUGCUUUUGCAAUAUGCUUUUUCCACUUAAUAACAGAAUCUUGGGAGAACUUCUUAUAUUAAUGGAUAUAGGACAACUUCACUUCCAAACUGUUGAAUAGGGACAAUUUAUUUACAUAUUUCCAUGUUGAGAGAUAUUUGGGUUACUUUAUUUUAUAUAUUUGCAUUGCUGUUAUAAAUGAUGCUCAAUAAACAUUCUCGUAUAGCCUGUUUAUGCGUAUGUGAGGGAAGUGGAGUUUUUUGGUCUUAGGGAUUGUACCUUUCCUUUUUAGAAGCUAUGGCCCAAUUGGCCUCCAAAGUUGCUGUACCUCUUUGCACUCCCAUCAGCCUUAAGUAGCAUCAGUAUUGACAGUUUUUCCCCAAGUUGAUGAGUGAAAAAUAUAUCUCGAUUCUUGAGGUUGCACAUUUUUUUUUUCAUGUCACUUGGCUAUUUCUAGUUCUUCUUCUUUGACCUACUUGUUCACUCCUCACACCCUUGCAUCGCUGAAUUUUCCUUACUGAUGUCACGGGGCGGUCCUGACUAUUUAAUACUCUUGCCUGUGAUGGAUGUGGUGUGUGUUGUCUUCAUGCUGUAACUUGUCUUUUACAUUUGCAUCUAGUGUCUUUUAUGGUAGAGAAAGAUUUUGUUUUAAAUUUGAUGUAGCCAACAUUUAUUUAUCAUUUAUAUUACAGAUUUUGUAAUCUGUGUCUUAAGAAUGACUUUCCAACCAACC